UGGGGAAUAUUGCACAAUGGGGGAAACCCUGAUGCAGCGACGCCGCGUGAGCGAAGAAGUAUUUCGGUAUGUAAAGCUCUAUCAGCAGGGAAGAAAAAGGACGGUACCUGACUAAGAAGCCCCGGCUAACUACGUGCCAGCAGCCGCGGUAAUACGUAGGGGGCAAGCGUUAUCUGGAUUUACUGGGUGUAAAGGGAGCGUAGACGGCUGUGUAAGUCUGAAGUGAAAGCCCGCGGCUCAACUGCGGAACUGCUUUGGAAACUAUACAGCUUGAGUAUCGGAGGGGUAAGCGGAAUUCCUAGUGUAGCGGUGAAAUGCGUAGAUAUUAGGAGGAACACCGGUGGCGAAGGCGGCUUACUGGACGAUAACUGACGUUGAGGCUCGAAAGCGUGGGGAGCAAACAGGAUUAGAUACCCUGGUA
This 421-nucleotide ribosomal RNA is filed under the name uncultured bacterium. RNAcentral describes it as "bacterial SSU rRNA". It matches the Rfam family "Bacterial small subunit ribosomal RNA", at positions 355 to 792 of the family's 1533-position model. The record is from RNAcentral.